CACCGACGCUCGUGCGGCCGACUUGCAGCUGUAGAAACAGAUACUAAAGGAACGAUGGAAUCUGUGGAAUCGUUACACGGCAUUGGUAGAAACGAUUCAAAAAGGAUGAGAUGUAGUGAAUAUAUCGCAUCAUACAUGCGUAGAAGCGAUCUCCCGUAUUCCGUCGAGGGUGAAAAAAUCCGACAUGAAAAGACUAUUUUUACUCGAACAGUGACUCCCUG
Molecule: long non-coding RNA, 221 nt
Organism: Odontomachus brunneus
Lineage: Eukaryota; Metazoa; Arthropoda; Insecta; Hymenoptera; Formicidae
Exons: 3
Source: RefSeq, a predicted model, not a curated record